UGGGGAAUAUUGGACAAUGGGCGAAAGCCUGAUGCAGCCGUGCCGCGUGUGUGAAGAAGGUCUUCGGAUUGUAAAGCACUUUAAGUUGGGAGGAAGGGCAGUUACCUAAUACGUGAUUGUUUUGACGUUACCGACAGAAUAAGCACCGGCUAACUCUGUGCCAGCAGCCGCGGUAAUACAGAGGGUGCAAGCGUUAAUCGGAAUUACUGGGCGUAAAGCGCGCGUAGGUGGUUUGUUAAGUUGGAUGUGAAAUCCCCGGGCUCAACCUGGGAACUGCAUUCAAAACUGACUGACUAGAGUAUGGUAGAGGGUGGUGGAAUUUCCUGUGUAGCGGUGAAAUGCGUAGAUAUAGGAAGGAACACCAGUGGCGAAGGCGACCACCUGGACUGAUACUGACACUGAGGUGCGAAAGCGUGGGGAGCAAACA
This 427-nucleotide ribosomal RNA is filed under the name uncultured prokaryote. Its description in RNAcentral is "bacterial SSU rRNA". It matches the Rfam family "Bacterial small subunit ribosomal RNA", at positions 355 to 774 of the family's 1533-position model. The record is from RNAcentral.